CUUUAGUUGCUGAAAUUGGAACUUCUCUGGAAAUCCUCAGGGAAGAAAGUGAAGUCAUGGCCAAAACACUGAAGCGCUUGGGAGAGGCAAAGCAGAGCUUUUAUAUGCGAAGCACUUCAAAGGAAAACAUCAGACAGAUCAGGGAAGAAAUGCCCUGAACUUGUUCUUGUCUCUGGCCCUUGCAGGGCGGGCUUGGAUCUCUGCUCCAGCUGCUGUGGCAGCCAGUGGACAUGGAUGUCAUUUUUUAACUUUGUUGCCAACAGCCAAACUUCCACAUACUCGGG
Hirundo rustica (Barn swallow) is the source of this 284-nucleotide long non-coding RNA. RefSeq lists it as uncharacterized. The record is from RefSeq and is a predicted model, not a curated record. NCBI's taxonomy places the organism in Eukaryota, Metazoa, Chordata, Aves, Passeriformes, Hirundinidae. The transcript has 3 exons.